Molecule: ribosomal RNA, 464 nt
Filed under: Acanthamoeba sp. Ac_E7a
Lineage: Eukaryota; Discosea; Longamoebia; Acanthamoebidae
Description: SSU rRNA
Rfam family: Eukaryotic small subunit ribosomal RNA
Source: RNAcentral
GGCCCAGAUCGUUUACCGUGAAAAAAUUAGAGUGUUCAAAGCAGGCAGAUCCAAUUUUCUGCCACCGAAUACAUUAGCAUGGGAUAAUGGAAUAGGACCCUGUCCUCCUAUUUUCAGUUGGUUUUGGCAGCGCGAGGACUAGGGUAAUGAUUAAUAGGGAUAGUUGGGGGCAUUAAUAUUUAAUUGUCAGAGGUGAAAUUCUUGGAUUUAUGAAAGAUUAACUUCUGCGAAAGCAUCUGCCAAGGAUGUUUUCAUUAAUCAAGAACGAAAGUUAGGGGAUCGAAGACGAUCAGAUACCGUCGUAGUCUUAACCAUAAACGAUGCCGACCAGCGAUUAGGAGACGUUGAAUACAAAACACCACCAUCGGUUGCGGUCGUCCUUGGCGUCUCGGUUUCGGCCGGGGCGCGGGGACGGUUUAGCCCGGUGGCACCGGUGAAUGACUCCCCUAGCAGCUUGUGAGAAA